GGCCGCCUGGCGUAAUGGCAACGCAUCUGACUAUGAAUCAGGAGAUUGCAGGUCCAACCCCUGUGGUGGUCA
RNAcentral lists this transfer RNA (72 nucleotides) under Trametes cinnabarina. RNAcentral describes it as "Pycnoporus cinnabarinus tRNA". It matches the Rfam family "tRNA". From Rfam's summary of the family: Transfer RNA (tRNA) molecules are approximately 80 nucleotides in length. Their secondary structure includes four short double-helical elements and three loops (D, anti-codon, and T loops). Further hydrogen bonds mediate the characteristic L-shaped molecular structure. tRNAs have two regions of fundamental functional importance: the anti-codon, which is responsible for specific mRNA codon recognition, and the 3' end, to which the tRNAs corresponding amino acid is attached (by aminoacyl-tRNA synthetases). tRNAs cope with the degeneracy of the genetic code in two manners: having more than one tRNA (with a specific anti-codon) for a particular amino acid; and 'wobble' base-pairing, i.e. permitting non-standard base-pairing at the 3rd anti-codon position. The record is from Rfam by way of RNAcentral. Lineage: Eukaryota; Fungi; Basidiomycota; Agaricomycetes; Polyporales; Polyporaceae.